AAUUUUAGGAAUUUUUAUUUAAAAUAAAACCUGCCCAAUGAAAAUUCAAUGGCCGCGGUAUUUUGACCGUGCGAAGGUAGCAUAAUAAUUUGUCUAAUAAUUUUAGUCUAGAAUGAAAGGUUAAACGUGAAAAUAACUUUUUUUUAUUAAAAGAUGAAUUUUAGAUAUUAGUAAAAACGCUAAUUUAACUUAAAAAGACAAGAAGACCCUAUUAAGUUUUAUAUUUAUAAAUUAGUUUUAUUAGAAAAUUUUAAUUAAUUAAUAUUUGGUUGGGGCGACUGAAAAUAAACAAACAUUUUUAAUUUAAUCUAAAUUUAUAGUUAAAAGAUCCAUUAAUAAUGAUUAAAAGAAUAAAUUACUAUAGGGAUAACAGCGUAAUUUUAUUGGAGAGAUCUUAUUGAUAAUAAAGUUUGCGACCUCGAUGUUGAAUUAGGAGCCCUAACUGAUGCAGUAAUCAGUAAAGGUAGUCUGUUCGACUAUUAAAUUCCUACAUGAUCUGAGUGGAAGA
Molecule: ribosomal RNA, 508 nt
Filed under: Hemiscolopendra marginata
Lineage: Eukaryota; Metazoa; Arthropoda; Chilopoda; Scolopendromorpha; Scolopendridae
Description: partial 16S ribosomal RNA
Rfam family: Bacterial large subunit ribosomal RNA
Source: RNAcentral